This 2327-nucleotide long non-coding RNA is filed under the name Homo sapiens (human). RNAcentral describes it as "HSALNT0248056". Lineage: Eukaryota; Metazoa; Chordata; Mammalia; Primates; Hominidae. The record is from RNAcentral.
CUGGGUUAUUUUCCUUCUUGAGAGCUUCUCCUGUACCUGCAGUUUCUCACGAUAAUCAGCUCACAAUAGUCCUUAUGCCAAAGAGGCAUGUGUGGAGGUGCCAUAUUCUGGUCUCCUACAACAUUCAGUAAUGGUCAAGAUGGUUGAUGCAGGAAACAGAUGGAGGGGCAGAAGUUGAUACUCAUCUCAUUAGAUCCAAAGAAGCCAAAUGGUGGCCAUCACCUGUGACAUGAAGAGGGUAUAUUUUAUGGAACUGGACAGCUUUCAGAAUCACAAGCAACCUCUUCAAAAUGUGAUCUACUGAAACGUGCUUGAAAGAGAGAAUAGGAGUGAGGCGGGCAAAGGAAGCAGAAGCCAUUGUGAACUGCCCUAGAGAAACCUUGGGCAUCUUUUUGUUGGGCAAAGUGGUAGAGGCUGAAACGGGGAAUAGCAUGUAACAUUUUAUUUGACUGAAAUAAACAGCUGUUUGUUUUUUUUUUCUUUCAUAUGUAAGAUAGACAAAAGGUGUUUGACAGAUAAGGAUUGGGGCAAUGUUGGUAUGAGUUCAGCUUUUUAGUUUGUUCUUUAAAAGUGGCCAUCAAGAUGUGGGUGUAAGGUAUUUCACAGUGAUUUGCAUUCAUUCUCAUUGCUGUCACCAUCAAGGCCCAGUUACUCAAUAUCCAAGUUUGUUUUUGUUGUAAUUCAAACAAAAUAAAUACAAGUAGCAGGGCUUUCCAUCCUUCCUGGGAAUAUUGUGUGGGUGCAUCUCAGUGAAUGCCAACUGCUUUCAAAUAAAAUGUGCCAUCUGAAGGAGCACAGUUUCCACUCCAGACCUGCAUGUACAAGACGCAAAACAAGGCACUAGCUGGCUUAGGGGAGUCAUGCCUGAGAGAACGAGUUGUAUAUAAAACUCUGCUGAGGCUGAAAAUAGCACAGAUAUGAAAGACAGAAGCAAAAGAUAUCGGGUGUCCUAAAGUGCCAGAUGCCCAGGUCACUUAAAAGUGGAUGACUCAGAGUCACACAGAGUAGCAGCAUGCUGGGAUCUUUGAGGAAAGCUGACCAACCACAGAGAAGGAAAGGCAAAGUGAUUCCGCAGAGAAUUGAACCAAAUACAAAUUUGCCUUUGUUUUUCAUCCCACAGAAUUUCCUCUUCACCCAUGAGGUUUAUAGCUAUUUUCACAUGACCAUCCACUGAAAGGAAAAUAAAUCUGAUCCUGUCCCAUCUACUCGAAAUGCCUUGUCCUUAGGCCACUCAGCUUGAUCCUCGUAAUAAAAUCACAUAGAAUGGAAUACAUUUUAAGGCAAAAAUGUGUAUGGCUAAUUAGGAUAUUUAUGUAUUGAUAAGAUAAAGAUAGAUGAGAUGCUGGGAGAAUAAAAUAAUUAUAAAUCUUACAACAUCAUGUCAAAGUAUAUGGUAUAUGGUCAAAGUAUAUGGUAUAAAACUACAAAACUGCUAGAAAAAAAUUACAAAAUUAUGAGAGAACUUGCACCUCUUUCAAUCAUGGGUAGAAAAGGCAGCAAAAAAGUUAAUGGGAAUUUAGAAGAUUUAGGCAACAUAAUAAUGUUGAUUUGGUACAUGUAUAAGCCUGAAACUAACAGAUGAUAUAAAACCUUAUGGAUGCCACUGAACUGUGAAAUGUACACAUAAAAAUGCUUAACAUAGCACAUUUUAUUAUAUAUAUCUAUAUAUUUUAUCACUGUAGGGGAUAAAAAAAUAUUUUUUUCUCAGUGAUUGCUAGGUUUAUGCCUGAGGCCUCCCUAAUAACGGAAAGAUUAACAAGAGAUAAACACACAAAUUUGUUUAAUAAAAGUUUCAUUGGAUAUAGGAACCUUCACAAGAAAAUGAAGAUCCAAAGAAACAGGUAAACCUGUAUGCUUUUACAGGUUUACAGGGUGGCCGGCGCCUGCCCUCAGAAUGUUUGGAAACUAAGAAACAUACAUAAAAUAAUUCAAAAAAAAUUUAAAAAAAAAGGGAAAAAAGGAAAAAGAAAUCACAAGAAAUAUUAGAAAAUAUUUAGAAGAAAAUGUAAAUUCCAAGGGAAUAUUUGUGAAAUAUACAUAAAUCAUUCAAUAGAGGGAAUUUUAUAGCCUUAAAAUACAUGCACGAAGAAAUAAAUCUUUCCUGGAUUUCUUUUAUUCCUGCAAAAUUCUGGUUCCCUGAACCACUGAAAUGGAUAUAAUAUGAAGCUAGAGAAUGUUUUCCUUUCCCCCCAAAUAUUUUACUUUUUGCACGUCUUGAGUAUUAAACUGCGGUUAUUUGUCUUCUUUUAGUUGGAACUAAUUCCCUUCCAUCUAAAGGAAAACAAAAGUGUUUUUUUAAUUAAAAAAUUUUAAUUUAUUUUUCUUCU